Molecule: long non-coding RNA, 863 nt
Organism: Motacilla alba alba
Lineage: Eukaryota; Metazoa; Chordata; Aves; Passeriformes; Motacillidae
Exons: 4
Source: RefSeq, a predicted model, not a curated record
UGGGCUGGCACGCAGGGGGAUGCUCACGCUCCGGUGACCCUGCAGGGAUCAACGUGGGCCACUCCUCUGGCUAAAUCCAGCAGAUCGGAGCUGUGGAGCAGCCCCACGACUCCCAGGAUCUGUUCCAUCACACCCCAAGGUGGGGAGGAUUGUUUAUCAUCCUUCCCAGAGAAUGUCUUUGCCCAGUCCUGUUCCCAUGAGGAAUCAGAAGGGAUCUGCAGCUGCUCGUGGGGGUUUUUUUGUGCACCAGGAGGGCACUGGGGAUGCCAAUCCGAGUUUCAAUUGCCCAGCAAGGGUACAGAACCAGAUUUUCUUUAUUUUACACCGUGGAAGAAACCUUUUGCCUCAUGUCCCACCAGGAUCACAUCCAAAGGGGAACCAGCCCUGGACCUCCCCACUGAGCCACUCACCACAAAUUAGGAACAGAACUGGACCUGAGCUGCUCUCUACAGCUCAGUCUCUGCUCCUGCUCUGGCCCUGAAGGUGAGGACUGCACUGCCCUGGCUGAGAAGCUCCAUCCCAUCUGCCUCUCCCCCUGCUCCAGCCAUGCGCCCCCAGAUCUGCAGAGCCAAAGAGCCCUGCACGAGCAGUGGGAUCCUCUAGCAAUAUUAAGAGCCCUUUUGCUGCUGUGUUUCAGCUCCGUGAGAAUUGCUUUGACAUCUCCCUGGGAAGCAAGGAGGAUGUUUAUUGCAGUACCUGAGGCCAGGCAGUGAAACCAAAGUGGAUGGGCCAAGCAGAGAACCUCCAUCGUUCAUAUUUCUGAGCAACUAUACAGUGACAAAUCGCCAGACGAUGACGUUUGACCUGCACAAGUAAUAAAAAGCUAAAAUUGGUUGGGUUUUUUUUAAAGCACAGCCCUUCAA